GGGACGGUAGCUUAAGAGAUCAGAGCACUGGACUGUCGAUCCAGCAGGUGUGGGUUUGAAUCCCAUGCGUCCCGCCA
RNAcentral lists this transfer RNA (77 nucleotides) under Woeseiaceae bacterium. RNAcentral describes it as "tRNA-Asp". It matches the Rfam family "tRNA". Rfam says of the family: Transfer RNA (tRNA) molecules are approximately 80 nucleotides in length. Their secondary structure includes four short double-helical elements and three loops (D, anti-codon, and T loops). Further hydrogen bonds mediate the characteristic L-shaped molecular structure. tRNAs have two regions of fundamental functional importance: the anti-codon, which is responsible for specific mRNA codon recognition, and the 3' end, to which the tRNAs corresponding amino acid is attached (by aminoacyl-tRNA synthetases). tRNAs cope with the degeneracy of the genetic code in two manners: having more than one tRNA (with a specific anti-codon) for a particular amino acid; and 'wobble' base-pairing, i.e. permitting non-standard base-pairing at the 3rd anti-codon position. Lineage: Bacteria; Pseudomonadati; Pseudomonadota; Gammaproteobacteria; Woeseiales; Woeseiaceae. The record is from RNAcentral.